GGUUAUGGCUCAGCGGUAGAGCGCUCAUCUUGAAUGUGCGAGGCCCUGGGUUUGAUCCUCAGCACCA
This 67-nucleotide transfer RNA is filed under the name Marmota monax (woodchuck). RNAcentral's name for it is "tRNA.Ser". Lineage: Eukaryota; Metazoa; Chordata; Mammalia; Rodentia; Sciuridae. The record is from RNAcentral.